RNAcentral lists this ribosomal RNA (266 nucleotides) under uncultured Glomus. RNAcentral describes it as "partial 18S ribosomal RNA". It matches the Rfam family "Eukaryotic small subunit ribosomal RNA", at positions 548 to 812 of the family's 1831-position model. Lineage: Eukaryota; Fungi; Glomeromycota; Glomeromycetes; Glomerales; Glomeraceae. The record is from RNAcentral.
UUGGAGGGCAAGUCUGGUGCCAGCAGCCGCGGUAAUUCCAGCUCCAAUAGCGUAUAUUAAAGUUGUUGCAGUUAAAAAGCUCGUAGUUGAAUUUCGGGAUUGACGUGAUGGUCAUGCCUUAAGGGGUAUGAACUGUCACAGUUGAUUUCUCACCUUCUGGAGAAACUUGAUGUCCUUUAUUGGGUGUCUUGCGGAUCCAGGACCUUUACCUUGAAAAAAUUAGAGUGUUUAAAGCAGGCUAUUUUUGCUCGAAUACAUUAGCAUGG